GAUGAACGCUGGCGGCGUGCUUAACACAUGCAAGUCGAACGGGAAACCUUUUAAUGAAGCUUCGGCAGAUUUAGCUGGUUUCUAGUGGCGGACGGGUGAGUAACGCGUGGGUAACCUGCCUUAUCCAGGGGGAUAACAGUCAGAAAUGACUGCUAAUACCGCAUAAGCGCACAGGACCGCAUGGUCCGGUGUGAAAAACUCCGGUGGUAUAAGAUGGACCCGCGUUGGAUUAGCUUGUUGGUGGGGUAACGGCUCACCAAGGCGACGAUCCAUAGCCGGCCUGAGAGGGUGAACGGCCACAUUGGGACUGAGACACGGCCCAGACUCCUACGGGAGGCAGCAGUGGGGAAUAUUGCACAAUGGGGGAAACCCUGAUGCAGCGACGCCGCGUGAAGGAAGAAGUAUCUCGGUAUGUAAACUUCUAUCAGCAGGGAAGAUAGUGACGGUACCUGACUAAGAAGCCCCGGCUAACUACGUG
This 478-nucleotide ribosomal RNA is filed under the name uncultured bacterium. RNAcentral describes it as "partial 16S ribosomal RNA". It matches the Rfam family "Bacterial small subunit ribosomal RNA", at positions 28 to 507 of the family's 1533-position model. The record is from RNAcentral.